CCUACGGGCCGCACCAGUGGGGAAUAUUGGACAAUGAGCGAAAGCCUGAUCCAGCAAUGCCGCGUGUGUGAAGAAGGUCUUCGGAUUGUAAAGCUCUUUCGACGGGGACGAUGAUGACGGUACCCGUAGAAGAAGCCCCGGCUAACUUCGUGCCAGCAGCCGCGGUAAUACGAAGGGGGCUAGCGUUGCUCGGAAUGACUGGGCGUAAGGGCGCGUAGGCGGUUUAAGCAGUCAGAUGUGAAAUCCCCGGGCUUAACCUGGGAACUGCAUUUGAGACGCAUAGACUAGAGGUCGAGAGAGGGUUGUGGAAUUCCCAGUGUAGAGGUGAAAUUUGUAGAUAUUGGGAAGAACACCGGUGGCGAAGGCGGCAACCUGGCUCGAUACUGACGCUGAGGCGCGAAAGCGUGGGGAGCAAACAGGAUUAGAUACCCCUGUAGUC
This 439-nucleotide ribosomal RNA is filed under the name uncultured bacterium. Its description in RNAcentral is "bacterial SSU rRNA". It matches the Rfam family "Bacterial small subunit ribosomal RNA", at positions 338 to 795 of the family's 1533-position model. The record is from RNAcentral.